This is a non-coding RNA of Meloidogyne enterolobii, 72 nucleotides long. The record is from the annotation of a GenBank genome assembly. NCBI's taxonomy places the organism in Eukaryota, Metazoa, Nematoda, Chromadorea, Rhabditida, Meloidogynidae.
GCCCCGGUAGCUCAAUGGUAAAGCCUAGCAACAACUAGCAGGUGAUCGCAGGUUCAAUCCUGCCCGGUGGCU